Molecule: microRNA, 20 nt
Filed under: Homo sapiens (human)
Lineage: Eukaryota; Metazoa; Chordata; Mammalia; Primates; Hominidae
Description: hsa-miR-6829-5p
Source: miRBase by way of RNAcentral
UGGGCUGCUGAGAAGGGGCA